Gallus gallus (chicken) is the source of this 1596-nucleotide long non-coding RNA. The record is from Ensembl. Lineage: Eukaryota; Metazoa; Chordata; Aves; Galliformes; Phasianidae.
AGAAGAAGCAAUUGUGGGAUGCAGUGCAGAAGGGCGACUGGGGCAAGGGUAACACAAAGCCUUGAGGACAAGAACCAGGAGUAAAGCUGACUGGCGCUGAUGUACUAAUUAGUGCACUAGCAGUGGUGGCUGGAAACCAAGUGAGUUUGAAAGAAAAAUACAAAGGCCGGAUGAGAAAAGGCACUGAAAGAGACUGCAACAGCAGUUGCAGUAUGACUGGCACAUGUGCAGACAGGAACACUUCUAACGAGGACAAAAUGGUUGAUUGUGAGACAGCCACCCACGUGCAUAGUGGCACUGGCCUCUGCAUUUGUCACUUUUGCAUGCAGAAGUUCAGCACCCAAGAAGCAGCACGGCACGGACAGCUGGAUGGACAAAUGACUACAGGAAACAUGGAGCUCAGGCAGGUGGCAAUGACUGGGUAUGCCUGGGACACGCCGCUAUCAGCUUGGAUAGAAUCUCAUUUGCUUUAUUUCUACUCUCAUUCAAUCUUGUUCUUCCCCCAUGUAUUCAAAGCCAACGGCUGCUGUGAAGCUGAAGUGACUGAGCAGUGCUCCCCGAAGACUGUAAUUUCCCUGCCUGAAAUAUGUACCAAAUGAGUCAUUCAUUUAACGUUUCCCCUCCUGCAGAUUUUGCUUUCAUAUUGAUGCCAAUCUCAGAAGUGUGAUCAGAUCCUGUCCUGGCUUCUGUUCUGCUAAAUCACAUCGUAACUUCUGUGUCAUUCUCUGUGACCUUUGCUCUGUAAUUUCUCCACUUUAUAUUCUUUUAGUUGCUAUCUUAUAAUUUCCAUUGUUUUUACCAACUACUGUCUUAAUGAUUCUUGUAAUUUAAAGUUUUUCAAAACAAUUGUGGCGUUGGGAGGGGAGGGAGUGCUGCUUCCAUUUUGCAAGUACUGUGACCUUGCCCUGGGAGAGACUUGUCUUUUUAUUUCCUCCUCCAUAAUGAGUUGGUUUUGAUGGUAUAAAUCACAAGGAAAUCACUGUGUGGUGCUUGUCAAAGUGAACUCAGACUUGGCUUUCUGCCAAGCUGCUGUGAGUUUUCUUAUCCCUGCUUUGCAAGCAGGUUCGGCGUUGCCAGCUGUGUGCCUCCUGCUGCUGGCUGCUGGGAUGCCUUCCUUCAUCUCCUCCCAUGGAGGAGCAUUUUUCUCUCCAUUGCCUGUAUUCCUAAUUGGACAUCUCAAGUGUGAGGGCACCGAUCUGGGUCUUCCUGUGCCAAAUAGUUACAUGUCUUCUGAUCCUUGAUGUACUUUGAGCUUUUUGCAAUGACCUGUUUCUCCUUAAGGAGCAGUAGCCACUUCUAGUUCUUCUUAAGAAAGUGCUUUUCCCAAUAACUAUCUGGUAGUCUUUUCUUUUUGGCUGGUUUGUGACUCUUCUGAGCUACUGCCACCAAGUUUGUUAUGAAAGGCUUGAUUCUGACGCUCUUAAUGGUACUUGUGAUGGCAAAUACUUUCUUAGCCUUGCUGUUAUGUUGGUAUUCCAAAGCUAAUUGAAGUCUGACAGCAGGUGUCCAGGUAUCACCAAAGCAGAAGUCUCCAAUAUUUUCCUCACAGCACAGACUGCGUUUAUAGGCACAAGCUUUUGGUGAACUGACUUCAGG